CUAAUACUCCCUCCAUCCCAAAAAAUUUGUCUUAGAUUUUUCUAGAUAUGGAUGUAUCUAAUGAUACAUCCGUAUCUAGACAAAUCUAAGACAAAAUUUUUGGGACGGAGCGAGUAUUAC
Non-coding RNA from Triticum aestivum (bread wheat), 120 nucleotides. The record is from Rfam. Lineage: Eukaryota; Viridiplantae; Streptophyta; Magnoliopsida; Poales; Poaceae.